AAUAAAUCAAUUUUUGUUUUUAAGGCCGGUUAUCCAGCACUGCGGAAAAUAAAUCUUUUUUGUUUUGUGCCAUCUCCAGACCCCACUGAUAAUGAGAGUGAGAUAGCUACACAUAGUAAGGUAGUUGGAAAGAAGAGAGCAGCGUCAGUAUUUUUUGAGUGGAAGAGAAUAAAAAAAUUCUCAAGUGCAGACCCUAAAAGGGGAACACAAAACAAGGAAACAAACAAUACCAACAACUAUAAAUAAAAGAUACAGUGAAAGAUCUCUCCGUGAAAAUCAAAAGCAGAGCAAGUCGAUGUUCACUCCAGAGAGUGGUUGCCUGCGCUGGCAAACGUAAAAGAAUUUAAUUAGGCUAUUUAUGUAUGUGAAAAAAAAUCUAGAAAAUAUUUCGAGAUAUUUCCAUGAUGAUUUGCAAGUUUAUAAAGAUGAGAAUGGAAUUCUGAACAAUUUCAUAAUAUCAUGAAAUUAAAUAAAAAACAUGAGCAAAUAAA
Long non-coding RNA from Drosophila guanche, 491 nucleotides. RefSeq lists it as uncharacterized. Lineage: Eukaryota; Metazoa; Arthropoda; Insecta; Diptera; Drosophilidae. The record is from RefSeq and is a predicted model, not a curated record. The transcript has 3 exons.